UACGUAGGUGGCGAGCGUUGUCCGGAAUUACUGGGUGUAAAGGGCGCGUAGGCGGGGAUGCAAGUCAGGUGUGAAAUACCAUGGCUCAACCGAGGUGAUGCAUCUGAAACUGUAUUUCUUGAGUACUGGAGAGGGAAGCGGAAUUCCUAGUGUAGCGGUGAAAUGCGUAGAGAUUAGGAGGAACACCAGUGGCGAAGGCGGCUUUCUGGCCAGAGACUGACGCUGAGGCGCGAAAGCGUGGGGAG
RNAcentral lists this ribosomal RNA (245 nucleotides) under uncultured Oscillospiraceae bacterium. RNAcentral describes it as "partial 16S ribosomal RNA". It matches the Rfam family "Bacterial small subunit ribosomal RNA", at positions 524 to 768 of the family's 1533-position model. The record is from RNAcentral. Lineage: Bacteria; Bacillati; Bacillota; Clostridia; Eubacteriales; Oscillospiraceae.